This 1193-nucleotide long non-coding RNA is filed under the name Scleropages formosus (Asian bonytongue). RNAcentral's name for it is "lncRNA (ENSSFOG00015030157.1)". Lineage: Eukaryota; Metazoa; Chordata; Actinopteri; Osteoglossiformes; Osteoglossidae. The record is from RNAcentral.
CUCCUGCGUAGCUCACAGGAACUUUACUCCGUUUACUCUUUACUCUGUUCUGGAGAUCUCGCUGAUGGCGGAAAUGCAGUUGUUCUUUUGUGAUGCUCGAAAGAAGGUCGAAAUGCAAAACCGGGUUCGUUGGCCUUUCGAAGUCACCAUAUUUGCUGGAGGAAGGGAAACAGCGGAGCGAUACUCUCACGGAAUUUGGUUCGAAUGGACACGCGGUCUGAAACAUUGAGACCCCCCCCCCCCCCCCCCCAGUACAUUUUAUCAAUGCACAUAUACAAUAUACCGUAUAUGUGUGUUAUGCCGUAAGGGAGGGGACGUGACUAUUGAUACGUGGACAAGUACGAAAACAUGGCACCGGUGACAGCUGUGCGUCUCAGCUGAGCGCAAAGACAAAGGACGAGUGUUGAGACGGUGUGCAGAGGACAAAUGGCAGGUAACACAGAGAUAUGGAGAGCAAAGGAGUCCAGGGGACAGCACCCUUGGCUAGAUAACAGCAGUCCCAUGUCAUACGCAGCAUGAUUCAAGAAGACAAAAGACAAAAAGUCUGCUUCGUCAUCAGUUUUCUCUCCCAGUACAUGUGGAGACACGUCGGCCGAUUUCCCAAAUCUGGACUGAAUGUUGCUCUUUCCUCUCUUCACUUCUCCCUCCGUGUUCCUCCGUUUUUUUCUUCCCACAGGCCUCUCUGCUCCUUCCCCCGUUGACUUCCGCGAAGAUGGUGAAGAGCGACCGAGGUGCGAGGGGCUGCUUCUUGUAUGGCAGAGGGAGAGGACAGGCGCCACGUAAGCCUGGGUGGUGUCUCGCUGCACAGGAACGUCUAGGCUGGAAGUGGCCCGUGUGCCCACCGUGCUCUUGGCUCGGAAGAGUGAGCGCUGCCCGAGAAAAAGGUGUGUUGUGUCACACUCAUUAUUGAAACAAAUAACCGAGUAGUUGCUAUGGCGAGCGCUCCUUGGCCGCACCGUCUCCCCGUUUCUCGCGCUGUGACACACACACGGCGCCCGGUUGCCGCACACGAACCCGCAUUUUCUUUCAGCUGCUACAUCAGGCAAAGUCAUGCAGUAGAUUAACCAGCAGCCCCUCUGCACUCUCUCUUUCUUGUGUGUGUGUGUGUGUGUGUGUGUGUGUGUGUGUUACAUGCAGGAGUAGGAAGUUCCCACUGUAGCAGUUACACUGUGCUCUUUUUGUGUGUGUGUGUG